Molecule: unclassified non-coding RNA, 2221 nt
Filed under: Hevea brasiliensis (rubber tree)
Lineage: Eukaryota; Viridiplantae; Streptophyta; Magnoliopsida; Malpighiales; Euphorbiaceae
Source: RNAcentral
UUAAUAAAAAUAAGCAGACAAAGUGCAACAAGUAAUAACAGAUUAAUCCUUAUGAAUUAUUCUAUCAAGAACAAGAUCGAAGUACUGAGGUGUCAUGAGUAGAGUAGUAAAUACAAAUAAACUAACUAGUAUUACAAAAAUUUUAUGAGGAGAAAUAACAUAUUCCAGCAUGCCAAUCCUACAAAAGGUAUCUGGUAAAAUGACAAUUUUCUGCCUCCUAUGAUACCCUAAAUGUACACUUGAUAAAUCAGGAAUGAAAUGAUGCCCAUCAAGUAGCAUCAGAGAGUUGCACCUCUGCAAUUAUAAGCAUGGGAAGCCAUUGUUAUCGACAUUCGGUCAGAGGAAAAUCCCUCCUAAGCAGCAACUGCAAUCUUUUCUUGUUGCUUAACACCUGACAUUUUAGGCUUUGGAUCAACUUUCAUUUCAGGUUUCUCAAUUCCUUGAAUAUCAGUUAUUCUCAACUUAGUCAGUUCCUGGCGAUGUCCUUUGGUUCGGCGGUAAUUCUUCCUUCUCUUCUUCUUGAAGAUAAUUACUUUUGCAUCUAAGGCAUGCUCCUCAACAACUGCAUGAACAGCUGCAUCUGGCACUGUAGGCCUGCCAACAAUUGUUUGAGAGCUUGAUCCUAACAAGAGAACCUUGUUCAAAAUCAACUGCAAUAGGAAAACCAUGGGAGCAUCAACUAAAUUCAGUUUGAUGGUAAGAAUGUCAUAAAAUGAACCCUUUGUUUUUUUCUAAAAAAAAUUAUAGGCAAAUAUUCCAGGUAACCAUCUGAAAGCUACAGAAGAUGACAUAAAGAAAACCUCAUCAAUGCCAUCUUAGCCCUCAAAAAAGAUGCCUUCAUUCUUCUAUUAAAGUAAGGUACAGGGAAAUGCAUGCAUGAAAAAUUACUAAACAACAUGCCAAUGAAAAUAGAAGUGGACAUGGGUAACCAAACUUUAGUUCCCAUUGUGCAUAUGCGAGAACAAAUAAGGGACUUAUGGAAUUGCAAUUGCAUAGCAUCUGAACCAAUUUGAUAUUGCUCAGCCACAUUAAACUUUUCCCAGUUUUUCUUUUACUCUGAAGGCAUGAAGAUAGUAUAAAUACCAGUUUCCAAUGUUAGGAUCAGCCGCGUGUCUACUUCACUACCAUGAGAAUCCAGAAGUUUUGUGGAACUAGUUACAUAAAAACUCAACCCACGCCUUGUUUCCAAGCACACUGUGUUUACAUCACCUCAAUUUAGCCUAACAAACUCUUGAUCUGAGUUCCUAGUCCGACUAACUGAGACCCAGCUUGUGGACUGCAUUUAGGCAUACACCGAGACAUUGCUGCUUCAACAUAAUAUGCUCCAAUCUUUCAGUCAUCUAAGCAAUGCUGUUAUUACUUUUCAUGCAAGUAGUUUUUGUUCUCAAUAAGCUCUAGUUAGAGUCAACACCCAGCCAGUUCUCAUGAAUGCAUCAUUCAUAAUUCAUUGAUUUUGUCUAUCUGCUUAUACUCUUAAUUAGCAUUUUGGAAAAUAAUUUAACCUUGUGUUUGGAUAGGGAAUUAGAAUUUGAUAAUGCAUAGCUUUUGUUUAACAAAAGGCAAUACAAAAAUCAAACGCCUAAGAUGCCAAGCACCAACGCAGGCGAAUAAACAAGCGCAAAUGCAACUCACCUUGUCAUUUACUUCACAGAAUUUCAAUUUCUCGGUGAAAAUGCAAUCCCCAUUGCUCACCUUCAAUUGAUGAGAACCGAUCUGAACAACAACGAAAACAGGCUCGUAUGGUUUAAAGACACGGUCGGAUUUCUGGAGUGGUCCAAUCACUUUGCAUACAAUAGCCGCAGCCUCUUCUUCCUUCUCAUCCGCUGAGUACUCUCUUCUCAAAUCAGAACUCGUUGCCUCCUGUCCAUCGCUAUCCUCUCCCACCGUCUCUUCAUCUUCCUCAUCGUUCUCGCUUUCGUCGCGAUAAUUUGAAGAGAAAUGGCGAGGAUGGUGGUGAGGCCAGGAGGAACACCAGGUGGAGUCAGCGUUAGAGGAAAUGAGAUAGGAUCUGGAGAUAAGGAGGGCUUUGGCAGAAAUUUGAUUGGGGAGAGAAGGUGGAACUUUGAGUGGGCGAUGCAGUGUGGCAGGAUUUGAAGAGAGGAGAGCUACGAUUUCACGGAUUACGGUGUCGAAACACCGUUUCUGCUCCAUGGAUGUUGGUGAUUUGUGAGCGAGGGUGUGAAAAGCCCGAGCUCAGCUAGGGCAGUGCAGGGCAUUUCAU